GCGGAGAUCGUCCAGCGGGAGGACGUCGGCGCGCCACGCCGAAGACGAGGGUUCGAGUCCCUCUCCCCGCACCA
Molecule: transfer RNA, 74 nt
Filed under: Sandaracinus sp.
Lineage: Bacteria; Pseudomonadati; Myxococcota; Polyangiales; Sandaracinaceae
Also listed under: 1 other name
Description: tRNA-Gly
Rfam family: tRNA
About the family: Transfer RNA (tRNA) molecules are approximately 80 nucleotides in length. Their secondary structure includes four short double-helical elements and three loops (D, anti-codon, and T loops).
Source: RNAcentral